AUACGGAGGGUCCGAGCGUUAUCCGGAAUCAUUGGGUUUAAAGGGUCCGCAGGCGGUCAAUUAAGUCAGAGGUGAAAGCCCAUCGCUCAACGAUGGAACUGCCUUUGAUACUGGUUGACUUGAGUUAUACGGAAGUAGAUAGAAUAAGUAGUGUAGCGGUGAAAUGCAUAGAUAUUACUUAGAAUACCGAUUGCGAAGGCAGUCUACUACGUAUAUACUGACGCUGAGGGACGAAAGCGUGGGGAGCGAACAGAAUUAGAAACCCCAGUAGUCC
RNAcentral lists this ribosomal RNA (274 nucleotides) under uncultured bacterium. RNAcentral's name for it is "partial 16S ribosomal RNA". It matches the Rfam family "Bacterial small subunit ribosomal RNA", at positions 523 to 796 of the family's 1533-position model. The record is from RNAcentral.